This 893-nucleotide ribosomal RNA is filed under the name Pseudopestalotiopsis cocos. RNAcentral's name for it is "LSU rRNA". It matches the Rfam family "Eukaryotic large subunit ribosomal RNA", at positions 40 to 957 of the family's 3401-position model. The record is from RNAcentral. Lineage: Eukaryota; Fungi; Ascomycota; Sordariomycetes; Amphisphaeriales; Sporocadaceae.
AUAUCAAUAAGCGGAGGAAAAGAAACCAACAGGGAAUGCCUUAGUAACGGCGAAGUGAAGCGGCAACAGCUCAAAUUUGAAAUCUGGCCCUUGGGUCCGAAUUGUAAUUUGUAGAGGAUGAUUUUGGUGCGGUAUCUUCCGAGUUCCUUGGAACAGGACGCCUUAGAGGGUGAGAGCCCCGUACGGUUGAAUGCCUAGCCUCUGUAAAUCUCCUUCGACGAGUCGAGUAGUUUGGGAAUGCUGCUCUAAAUGGGAGGUAAAUUUCUUCUAAAGCUAAAUAUUGGCCAGAGACCGAUAGCGCACAAGUAGAGUGAUCGAAAGAUGAAAAGCACUUUGAAAAGAGGGUUAAAUAGCACGUGAAAUUGUUGAAAGGGAAGGAUUUGUGACCAGACUUUUUCUGGGCGGAUCAUCCGGGGUUCUCUCCGGUGCACUUUGCCCAGUAAAGGCCAGCAUCGGUUUUCGGCGGGGGAUAAAAGCAGUAGGAAUGUGGCUCUCUACGGGGAGUGUUAUAGCCUAUUGUAUAAUACCCUGCUGGGGACCGAGGUACGCGCUUCUGCAAGGAUGCUGGCGUAAUGGUUAUCAAUCACCCGUCUUGAAACACGGACCAAGGAGUCGAACAUUUGUGCGAGUGUUUGGGUGUUAAACCCUCACGCGUAAUGAAAGUGAACGGAGGUGAGAGCCCUUACGGGUGCAUCAUCGACCGAUCCUGAAGUUUUCGGAUGGAUUUGAGUAAGAGCAUAACUGUUCGGACCCGAAAGAUGGUGAACUAUGCGUGGAUAGGGUGAAGCCAGAGGAAACUCUGGUGGAGGCUCGCAGCGGUUCUGACGUGCAAAUCGAUCGUCAAAUCUGCGCAUGGGGGCGAAAGACUAAUCGAACCAUCUAGUAGCUGGGUA